GAGGGGGAGGCUACCUAGAUUAAUACUUUAGGAUAGUGGACGUUACUCGCAGAAUAAGCACCGGCUAACUCUGUGCCAGCAGCCGCGGUAAUACAGAGGGUGCGAGCGUUAAUCGGAUUUACUGGGCGUAAAGCGUGCGUAGGCGGCCAAUUAAGUCAAAUGUGAAAUCCCCGAGCUUAACUUGGGAAUUGCAUUCGAUACUGGUUGGCUAGAGUAUGGGAGAGGAUGGUAGAAUUCCAGGUGUAGCGGUGAAAUGCGUAGAGAUCUGGAGGAAUACCGAUGGCGAAGGCAGCCAUCUGGCCUAAUACUGACGCUGAGGUACGAAAGCAUGGGGAGCAAACAGGAUUAGAUACCCUGGUAGUCUAUGUCGUAAACGAUGUCUACUAGCCGUUGGGGCCCUUGAGGCUUUAGUGGCGCAGCUAACGCGAUAAGUAGACCGCCUGGGGAGUACGGUCGCAAGACUAAAACUCAAAUGAAUUGACGGGG
Molecule: ribosomal RNA, 486 nt
Filed under: Acinetobacter radioresistens
Lineage: Bacteria; Pseudomonadati; Pseudomonadota; Gammaproteobacteria; Moraxellales; Moraxellaceae
Description: bacterial SSU rRNA
Rfam family: Bacterial small subunit ribosomal RNA
Source: RNAcentral